CCUACGGGUGACAGCAGUGAGGAAUAUUGGUCAAUGGACGCAAGUCUGAACCAGCCAAGUAGCGUGCAGGAUGACGGCCCUCCGGGUUGUAAACUGCUUUUAGUUGGGAAUAAAAGGGGGCUCGUGAGCCCCGUAUUGUAUGUACCAUCAGAAAAAGGACCGGCUAAUUCCGUGCCAGCAGCCGCGGUAAUACGGAGGGUCCGGGCGUUAUCCGGAUUUAUGGGGGUAAAAGGGAGCGUAGGCCGGCUUUUAAGUCAGUGGUGAAAGUCCGCGGCCAAACCGUGGAAUUGCAGUUGAAACGGGAGGCCUUGGGGGCAGACAGGGAUGCCGGAAUUCAUGGUGUAGCGGUGAA
Molecule: ribosomal RNA, 352 nt
Filed under: uncultured bacterium
Lineage: Bacteria
Description: partial 16S ribosomal RNA
Rfam family: Bacterial small subunit ribosomal RNA
Source: RNAcentral